GAUGAACGCUAGCGGCAGGCUUAACACAUGCAAGUCGAGGGGUAUUGGUUUUCGGACCAAGAGACCGGCGCACGGGUGCGUAACGCGUAUGCAAUCUACCUUUUGCAGAGGGAUAGCCCCAGAGAAAUUUGGAUUAAUACCUCAUAGUAUAGUACUUUGGCAUCAAGGAACUAUUAAAGUCACAACGGCAAAGAUGAGCAUGCGUCCCAUUAGUUAGUUGGUAAGGUAACGGCUUACCAAGACAAUGAUGGGUAGGGGUCCUGAGAGGGAGAUCCCCCCANACUGGUACUGAGACACGGGACCAGACCUCCUACGGGAGGCAGCAGUGAGGAAUAUUGGACAAUGGGCGCAAGCCUGAUCCAGCCAUGCCGCGUGCAGGAUGACGGUCCUAUGGAUUGUAAACUG
RNAcentral lists this ribosomal RNA (405 nucleotides) under uncultured bacterium. Its description in RNAcentral is "bacterial SSU rRNA". It matches the Rfam family "Bacterial small subunit ribosomal RNA", at positions 28 to 432 of the family's 1533-position model. The record is from RNAcentral.